GGUGAGAUGCCCGAGUGGUCAAAGGGGGUGGAGUCAAGUUCCAUUGCGUUAGCUAUCGUGGGUUCGAACCCCACUCUCAUCA
Non-coding RNA from Vanrija pseudolonga, 82 nucleotides. Lineage: Eukaryota; Fungi; Basidiomycota; Tremellomycetes; Trichosporonales; Trichosporonaceae. The record is from the annotation of a RefSeq genome assembly.